This 393-nucleotide ribosomal RNA is filed under the name uncultured bacterium. RNAcentral describes it as "partial 16S ribosomal RNA". It matches the Rfam family "Bacterial small subunit ribosomal RNA", at positions 523 to 918 of the family's 1533-position model. The record is from RNAcentral.
AUACGGAGGACGCGAGCGUUAUCCGGAUUUAUUGGGUUUAAAGGGUGCGUAGGCGGUCGGGUAAGCGUAGGGUGAAAGUCCUCUGCUCAACAGAGGAAGUGCCUUCCGAACUGUCCGACUGGAAUGCUCCUGCCGUGGGAGGAAUGUGUGGUGUAGCGGUGAAAUGCAUAGAGAUCACACAGAACACCGAUUGCGAAGGCAUCUCACGAAGGGGCUAUUGACGCUGAGGCACGAAAGCGUGGGGAUCAAACAGGAUUAGAUACCCUGGUAGUCCACGCAGUAAACGAUGAUGACUAACCGUCGGUCAAGACUGAUCGGUGGCCAAGCGAAAGCGAUAAGUCAUCCACCUGGGGAGUACGACCGCAAGGUUGAAACUCAAAUGAAUUGACGGGG